GCCUCUCUAGCUCAACGGUAGAGCAACGGACUCUUAAUCCGCAGGUUCUGGGUUCGAGACCCAGGGGAGGCACCA
Molecule: transfer RNA, 75 nt
Filed under: Actinomycetota bacterium
Lineage: Bacteria; Bacillati; Actinomycetota
Also listed under: 2 other names
Description: tRNA-Lys
Rfam family: tRNA
About the family: Transfer RNA (tRNA) molecules are approximately 80 nucleotides in length. Their secondary structure includes four short double-helical elements and three loops (D, anti-codon, and T loops). Further hydrogen bonds mediate the characteristic L-shaped molecular structure. tRNAs have two regions of fundamental functional importance: the anti-codon, which is responsible for specific mRNA codon recognition, and the 3' end, to which the tRNAs corresponding amino acid is attached (by aminoacyl-tRNA synthetases). tRNAs cope with the degeneracy of the genetic code in two manners: having more than one tRNA (with a specific anti-codon) for a particular amino acid; and 'wobble' base-pairing, i.e. permitting non-standard base-pairing at the 3rd anti-codon position.
Source: RNAcentral